This 434-nucleotide ribosomal RNA is filed under the name uncultured Lachnospiraceae bacterium. RNAcentral describes it as "partial 16S ribosomal RNA". It matches the Rfam family "Bacterial small subunit ribosomal RNA", at positions 341 to 792 of the family's 1533-position model. The record is from RNAcentral. Lineage: Bacteria; Bacillati; Bacillota; Clostridia; Lachnospirales; Lachnospiraceae.
ACGGGAGGCAGCAGUGGGGAAUAUUGGACAAUGGGCGCAAGCCUGAUCCAGCGACGCCGCGUGAGUGAAGAAGUAUUUCGGUAUGUAAAGCUCUAUCAGCAGGGAAGAUAAUGACGGUACCUGACUAAGAAGCCCCGGCUAACUACGUGCCAGCAGCCGCGGUAAUACGUAGGGGGCAAGCGUUAUCCGGAUUUACUGGGUGUAAAGGGAGCGUAGACGGUAUGGCAAGUCUGAUGUGAAAACCCAGGGCUCAACCCUGGGACUGCAUUGGAAACUGUCAAACUAGAGUGCAGGAGAGGUAAGCGGAAUUCCCAGUGUAGCGGGGAAAUGCGUAGAUAUUAGGAGGAACACCAGUGGCGAAGGCGGCUUACUGGACUGUAACUGACGUUGAGGCUCGAAAGCGUGGGGAGCAAACAAGAUUAGAUACCCUGGUA